Cyprinus carpio carpio is the source of this 534-nucleotide long non-coding RNA. The record is from Ensembl. Lineage: Eukaryota; Metazoa; Chordata; Actinopteri; Cypriniformes; Cyprinidae.
AAAACAAUGAAACUAAAGUCCACAACACUGACAAUGCCACUUGGCCAGGCUUGGGUGUAGUUCUCCAUGGUUAAAAAGAAGAGUUAUCUCUUGUCUGGCCCUCAUCCAAGGUGAGGACUGGGACUGAGCAGAAAACCUCUAGAAGUCGGUAGAUUUGAAGGAGGUAAAGCAGAAAUCUGAUUGUUCUUCAAGUUUACACAAUGAUUUUCAGAGCUGCAAACUAUCCAACCCAAAAUGUGGAUUAUAUAUGGAAUAAGCAAGAUGAGGUCCAAAGUCAAGUGCUUAGAGGUGAAACACCAGAUGUCCUCACGUGUGCCGGCAUGACCUGUGUUAUGUAUUAGGAUUGUAUAACUUGCUUGUUUGAAUUACCUUCUCUUCCUCCAAUCACUUACAGGUACACAGUGACUGAUGCUCAAUUCCUGGGCAUUAUUCUUCUGCCGUAACCUUUGUUUAACUCUUUGAUCCACACAUUUUAGUGGGUAUCUGUCAUUGCAUUGCUUGUGGUUGUGUUAUUUGUUACUGGAACCUAGGGUG